Molecule: small nuclear RNA, 104 nt
Organism: Phyllostomus discolor (pale spear-nosed bat)
Lineage: Eukaryota; Metazoa; Chordata; Mammalia; Chiroptera; Phyllostomidae
Source: RefSeq, a predicted model, not a curated record
GUACUCAUUCUGGCAGCACAUAUACUAAAAUUGGAAUGAUCUAGAGAUUAGCAUGGCCCCUGAGCAAGGAUGACAUGCAAAUUUGAGAAUCAUUACAUAUUUUU